RNAcentral lists this ribosomal RNA (528 nucleotides) under Grosmannia aurea. Its description in RNAcentral is "eukaryotic LSU rRNA". It matches the Rfam family "Eukaryotic large subunit ribosomal RNA", at positions 1 to 534 of the family's 3401-position model. RNAcentral also lists the same sequence under 4 other names. The record is from RNAcentral. Lineage: Eukaryota; Fungi; Ascomycota; Sordariomycetes; Ophiostomatales; Ophiostomataceae.
UUGACCUCGGAUCAGGUAGGACUACCCGCUGAACUUAAGCAUAUCAAUAAGCGGAGGAAAAGAAACCAACAGGGAUUGCCCCAGUAACGGCGAGUGAAGCGGCAACAGCUCAGAUUUGGAAUCUGGCCCCCAGGGCCCGAGUUGUAAUCUGGAGAGGAUGCUUCUGGCGCGGCGCCUUCCGAGUUCCCUGGAACGGGACGCCGGAGAGGGUGAGAGCCCCGUACGGUUGGACGCCUAGCCUUUGUGAAGCUCCUUCGACGAGUCGAGUAGUUUGGGAAUGCUGCUCAAAAUGGGAGGUAAAUUUCUUCUAAAGCUAAAUACCGGCCAGAGACCGAUAGCGCACAAGUAGAGUGAUCGAAAGAUGAAAAGCACUUUGAAAAGAGGGUCAAACAGUACGUGAAAUUGUUGAAAGGGAAGCGCCCGUGGCCAGACUUGUGCCCCGCGGACCACCCGGCGCCCUCAGCGCCGGUGCACUCCGCGGGGCGCAGGCCAGCAUCGGUUUUCCUAGGGGGAUAAAGGCGGCGGGAA